This 69-nucleotide transfer RNA is filed under the name Oreolalax omeimontis (Omei lazy toad). RNAcentral's name for it is "tRNA-Val". Lineage: Eukaryota; Metazoa; Chordata; Amphibia; Anura; Megophryidae. The record is from RNAcentral.
CAGAAUGUAGCUUAACUAAAGCCCCUCGCUUACACCGAGUCUAUGCCCGUUAAUCACGGGCCAUCCUGA